Long non-coding RNA from Leopardus geoffroyi (Geoffroy's cat), 1412 nucleotides. RefSeq lists it as uncharacterized. The transcript has 5 exons. The record is from RefSeq and is a predicted model, not a curated record. NCBI's taxonomy places the organism in Eukaryota, Metazoa, Chordata, Mammalia, Carnivora, Felidae.
GUCAGCGGGGCUCGAACCCACAAAUGCGGUAUCAUGACCUGAGCCGAAGUCAGAUGCUUAACCGACCGAGCCACCCAGCUGCCCUGAGGUGUUGAAGGAUUCUAAGCAGAGUUUACGAAAAUGGGAACAUGUUCUGAAUUCCAGGUCGUCAGCUGUCAGCACAGAGCCGGAUGUGGGGCUCGGACUCAUCAAAAGUGACACCGUGACCUGAGUUGAAGUCAGACGCUCGACCAACUGAGCCACCCAGGCGCCAACCCCCCGCCCCUCCGUAUUUAUGCUCUUAAAGAUCACGUAGGCUAUAGUGGAUGAAAGAAUGGAUUGAGGUGCAACAGAAGAUGGCAAGAGACCAGUUAUGAGGAUACUGCAACAGCCCGGUGUUGAAGAGAUUUUGUGUCUCCAGGGAGUCGGAGUGACUUGAUAUCUCAGAGCAGUUCUGCAGUGUGGAUGCAGUGGUUCUUCAUGGAGCGCGGUGAGUCCUAUGAGCAGACAGAGAACAAGAGCAUAUUAGAGAUCAGCUGAAGUGCGGCCCUCUCAUUUUACAUAGGAGGAACUGGGCAUGGAAAGAUGAAGCAACUUUCCCAAACCCACAGAGCUACUUCGUGGCAGAUCUAGGCCUGCAACUUUGGGGUCAGGUGUCUCCGAGGCUGUGCUGUCCCGUUCGAAUGCAGCAAAUCAGCCGCAGCGCCCAUAAUUGAGAGCUUCUUCCGGCCGGGAGGGUACCUUCUCCACCUCUCACGACAAAUCUUUAAAGGAGGCCUUGUCACUCCCAUUUCCCAGGUCUUCAAGUCAUGGCAGAGACAAAAGCCUUGGCAACUGGGUAACUCCCUGAACGAUAAUCCAGUGUUGGAUCUCCUGACUCUACCAUAUAUCAGUGGAUGGCCACGGGCAAGUUGCUGAACUUCUCUGAGCCUCAGGUUUCUCAUCUGCUUUUGGAAUAAGUGGUGGGAGAAGAAGGUGAAAAGAGUUGGAACUGACAAUAAAACUCCAGCGCCCUGGAGAGGGGGCCUUCCUGGAAGCUACAUAAGUCUCCCUGAUGGAAGGAAAUCUUAGCGACUUUGGAAACGACUCAAGUUUGCUGUCAUGUUCACAUGUGGUGGUGGUGACGGUCAGGGCCAGGGGGAGGCUGCACCUUAGUGAACAGCUUGGUUGAAUGAGGGCUGUACUAAACUCACCGAUGUGAGAAAUGCCAAGUUUUCCAGAUAAUAGGUGGCACCUUAGAUGUCAGAGUCCACUGCAAAUAAUAGCUCGUGCUCAGUUAGUUAUGGGUACUAAGUAAAUACUAAUAGAAACUGAUAAGAUCAUGAUUUGGAGAAAAACAGAAGAGCAGUAAGUAGACUGUGACAAGUUGCUGUGUAAUUACCUUUCAUCUUUUGGGGUAAAGGAGAACUGAAUAAAGCCACUCAUGUUACCUA